RNAcentral lists this ribosomal RNA (524 nucleotides) under Trichoderma sp. T3. RNAcentral describes it as "SSU rRNA". It matches the Rfam family "Eukaryotic small subunit ribosomal RNA", at positions 24 to 552 of the family's 1831-position model. The record is from RNAcentral. Lineage: Eukaryota; Fungi; Ascomycota; Sordariomycetes; Hypocreales; Hypocreaceae.
UCAUAUGCUUGUCUCAAAGAUUAAGCCAUGCAUGUCUAAGUAUAAGCAAUUAUACCGCGAAACUGCGAAUGGCUCAUUAUAUAAGUUAUCGUUUAUUUGAUAAUACUUUACUACUUGGAUAACCGUGGUAAUUCUAGAGCUAAUACAUGCUGAAAAUCCCGACUUCGGAAGGGAUGUAUUUAUUAGAUUAAAAACCAAUGCCCCUCGGGGCUCUCUGGUGAAUCAUGAUAACUAGUCGAAUCGACAGGCCUUGUGCCGGCGAUGGCUCAUUCAAAUUUCUUCCCUAUCAACUUUCGAUGUUUGGGUAUUGGCCAAACAUGGUGGCAACGGGUAACGGAGGGUUAGGGCUCGACCCCGGAGAAGGAGCCUGAGAAACGGCUACUACAUCCAAGGAAGGCAGCAGGCGCGCAAAUUACCCAAUCCCGACACGGGGAGGUAGUGACAAUAAAUACUGAUACAGGGCUCUUUUGGGUCUUGUAAUCGGAAUGAGUACAAUUUAAAUCCCUUAACGAGGAACAAUUGGA